Molecule: long non-coding RNA, 484 nt
Organism: Prosopis cineraria
Lineage: Eukaryota; Viridiplantae; Streptophyta; Magnoliopsida; Fabales; Fabaceae
Exons: 4
Source: RefSeq, a predicted model, not a curated record
UCUUGACUCGCUCCUUCUUACUGCAUUGCCAUUCUGCUUCUCAUUUCUAUUCCCCCCAGGUGCUCGAGUUUCUCUGGUCUUUUUUUGCUGUUUAUGCCGAUGGCAGAUUGGCUUCACUUUCGUCUCCAUUCUCCAAUUUCUUUGCUUCCUUAACAGUUGAACUUUCUCCCAUUCUGAGGUAACUCUCUUCAUUUCUGUGCCCCCGUCUCUCAAGUCCCUUUGAGAUCUUUCAUGCUGCUUCAGUUUGAUUGCGGUGAUUUCUUGAUGUUUAUGGCAAUGGCAGAUUGGCUUCACUUGUGUUUCCAUUCUCCAAUUUCUUUGGUUCUAAACACUUAGAUUUGAUGCCAUUUUGGGGUAAAUUGAUAUUUCUUUAUAACAUUUUUAUUAAAUUUCAAAUAUCAAAUUUAGUUUAGUUUAUAUAUGCUCUAUGCUUAUUUAUGACAGAUGAUGCUUUCAUGAGAUCAAUUACUUAUUGGAGACUUAA